This 440-nucleotide ribosomal RNA is filed under the name uncultured bacterium. RNAcentral's name for it is "bacterial SSU rRNA". It matches the Rfam family "Bacterial small subunit ribosomal RNA", at positions 338 to 778 of the family's 1533-position model. The record is from RNAcentral.
CCUACGGGGGGCUGCAGUCGAGAAUCUUGCACAAUGCACGAAAGUGUGAUGCAGCGACGCCGCGUGAAGGAUGAAGGCCCUUGGGUCGUAAACUUCUUUUAUGCGGGAAGAAAAAAAUGACGUUACCGCAUGAAUAAGCCACGGCUAACUACGUGCCAGCAGCCGCGGUAAUACGUAGGUGGCAAGCGUUGUCCGGAUUUACUGGGCGUAAAGAGUAUGUAGGCGGACAUUUAAGUAGAAAGUGAAAGGUUGGAGCUUAACUCCAACACUGCUUCCUAUACUGGGUGUCUUGAGUGCCGGAGAGGAAAGCGGAACGACACGUGUAGCGGUGAAAUGCGUUGAUAUGUGUCGGAACACCAAUGGCGAAGGCAGCUUUCUGGACGGAGCCGCAAGGCUUAAAACUGACGCUGAGAUACGAAAGCGUGGGUAGCGAACAGGAU